GAUGAAGAACGCAGCGAAAUGCGAUAAGUAAUGCGAAUUGCAGAAUCCGUGAGUCAUCGAAUCUUUGAACGCACAUUGCGCCCGCUAGUAUUCUGGCGGGCAUGCCUGUUCGAGCGUCAUUUCAACCAUCAAGCCCUAGGCUUGCGUUGGAGCCCUGCGGCUGCCGCAGGCUCCCAAAUCCAGUGGCGGGCUCGUCGUCGUACCGAGUGCAGUAAACAUCCUCGCUCAGGGAACGUGACGGGUUCUUGCCGUGAAACCCCCCACAUAUCAAGGUUGACCUCGGAUCAGGUAGGAAUACCCGCUGAACUUAAGCAUAUCAAUAAGCGGAGGA
Molecule: unclassified non-coding RNA, 331 nt
Filed under: soil metagenome
Description: partial contains 5.8S ribosomal RNA, internal transcribed spacer 2, and large subunit ribosomal RNA
Rfam family: 5.8S ribosomal RNA (bases 1-119)
Source: RNAcentral